Molecule: ribosomal RNA, 439 nt
Filed under: uncultured bacterium
Lineage: Bacteria
Description: bacterial SSU rRNA
Rfam family: Bacterial small subunit ribosomal RNA
Source: RNAcentral
UUAACGCGAAGAACCUUACCAAGGCUUGACAUGCACGGGAAGCCACCAGAGAUGGUGGUCUCUUUGGACACUCGUGCACAGGUGGUGCAUGGUUGUCGUCAGCUCGUGUCGUGAGAUGUUGGGUUAAGUCCCGCAACGAGCGCAACCCUCGUCCCAUGUUGCCAGCGGGUUAUGCCGGGGACUCAUGGGAGACUGCCGGGGUCAACUCGGAGGAAGGUGGGGAUGACGUCAAAUCAUCAUGCCCCUUAUGUCUUGGGCUUCACGCAUGCUACAAUGGCCGGUACAAAGGGCUGCGAUACCGUAAGGUGGAGCGAAUCCCAAAAAGCCGGUCUCAGUUCGGAUUGGGGUCUGCAACUCGACCCCAUGAAGUCGGAGUCGCUAGUAAUCGCAGAUCAGCAACGCUGCGGUGAAUACGUUCCCGGGCCUUGUACACACCGAA